GACGAACGCUGGCGGCGUGCUUAACACAUGCAAGUCGAACGGAAAGGCCCUGCUUUUGUGGGGUGCUCGAGUGGCGAACGGGUGAGUAACACGUGAGUAACCUGCCCUUGACUUUGGGAUAACUUCAGGAAACUGGGGCUAAUACCGGAUAGGAGCUCCUGCUGCAUGGUGGGGUUGGAAAGUUUUCGGCGGUUGGGGAUGGACUCGCGGCUUAUCAGCUUGUUGGUGGGGUAGUGGCUUACCAAGGCUUUGACGGGUAGCCGGCCUGAGAGGGUGACCGGCCACAUUGGGACUGAGAUACGGCCCAGACUCCUACGGGAGGCAGCAGUGGGGAAUAUUGCACAAUGGGCGGAAGCCUGAUGCAGCAACGCCGCGUGCGGGAUGACGGCCUUCGGGUUGUAAACCGCUUUCGCCUGUGACGAAGCGUGAGUGACGGUAAUGGGUAAAGAAGCACCGGCUAACUACGUG
RNAcentral lists this ribosomal RNA (468 nucleotides) under uncultured bacterium. RNAcentral's name for it is "partial 16S ribosomal RNA". It matches the Rfam family "Bacterial small subunit ribosomal RNA", at positions 28 to 507 of the family's 1533-position model. The record is from RNAcentral.